CCCUUAGAUGUUCUGGGCCGCACGCGCGCUACACUGAUCGGUGCAACAAGCAUCCGUCCUUGGCCGACAGGCCCGGGCAAUCUUUGAACGCCGGUCGUGAUGGGGAUAGACCUUUGCAAUUUUUGGUCUUCAACGAGGAAUUCCUAGUAAACGCAAGUCAUCAACUUGCAUUGAUUACGUCCCUGCCCUUUGUACACACCGCCCGUCGCACCUACCGAUUGAAUGGUCCGGUGAAGCCUCCGGAUUGGCGCGCACCUCGGUGCCGCCGAGAAGUUGGCUAAACCUUACCAUUUAGAGGAAGGUGAAGUCGUANCA
This 315-nucleotide ribosomal RNA is filed under the name uncultured eukaryote. RNAcentral's name for it is "partial 18S ribosomal RNA". It matches the Rfam family "Eukaryotic small subunit ribosomal RNA", at positions 1470 to 1796 of the family's 1831-position model. The record is from RNAcentral.